GGGUUGUGAGGUUAAGCGACUAAGCGUACACGGUGGAUGCCCUGGCAGUCAGAGGCGAUGAAGGACGUGCUAAUCUGCGAUAAGCGUCGGUAAGGUGAUAUGAACCGUUAUAACCGGCGAUUUCCGAAUGGGGAAACCCAGUGUGAUUCGUCACACUAUCGUUAACUGAAUACAUAGGUUAACGAAGCGAACCGGGGGAACUGAAACAUCUAAGUACCCCGAGGAAAAGAAAUCAACCGAGAUUCCCCCAGUAGCGGCGAG
This 261-nucleotide ribosomal RNA is filed under the name Salmonella enterica subsp. enterica serovar Kentucky. Its description in RNAcentral is "partial 23S ribosomal RNA". It matches the Rfam family "Bacterial large subunit ribosomal RNA", at positions 1 to 253 of the family's 2925-position model. The record is from RNAcentral. Lineage: Bacteria; Pseudomonadati; Pseudomonadota; Gammaproteobacteria; Enterobacterales; Enterobacteriaceae.